RNAcentral lists this ribosomal RNA (454 nucleotides) under uncultured bacterium. RNAcentral's name for it is "bacterial SSU rRNA". It matches the Rfam family "Bacterial small subunit ribosomal RNA", at positions 340 to 786 of the family's 1533-position model. The record is from RNAcentral.
UACGGAAGGAGCAGUGGGGAAUAUUGCACAAUGGGCGCAAGCCUGAUGCAGCCAUGCCGCGUGUAUGAAGAAGGCCUUCGGGUUGUAAAGUACUUUCAGCGGGGAGGAAGGCGAUGCGGUUAAUAACCGCGUCGAUUGACGUUACCCGCAGAAGAAGCACCGGCUAACUCCGUGCCAGCAGCCGCGGUAAUACGGAGGGUGCAAGCGUUAAUCGGAAUUACUGGGCGUAAAGCGCACGCAGGCGGUCUGUUAAGUCAGAUGUGAAAUCCCCGGGCUUAACCUGGGAACUGCAUUUUGAAACUGGCAGGCUUGAGUCUUGUAGAGGGGGUAGAAUUCCAGGUGUAGCGGUGAAAUGCGUAGAGAUCUGGAGGAAUACCGGUGGCGAAGGCGGCCCCUGGGACAAGACUGACGCUCAGGGUGCGAAAGCGUGGGGAGCAAACGAGGAUUAGAUACC